CGGGUUCUCGAAUUAAAAGGGAAUCGGGUGCAAAUCCAGAACAGUCCCGCUGCUGUGAAGCUCCGCUCGAAUUUUCCGAGAUAAUACCCCAUGCCACUGAUCAAAUCGGGAAGGCAUUCGGAAAAAAGGAGUCAGUCAGAAGACCUGCCAUUCAUUAA
RNAcentral lists this non-coding RNA (158 nucleotides) under human gut metagenome. The record is from RNAcentral.